AUUGAACGCUGGCGGCAUGCCUUACACAUGCAAGUCGAACGGCAGCACGGGUGCUUGCACCUGGUGGCGAGUGGCGAACGGGUGAGUAAUACAUCGGAACAUGUCCUGUAGUGGGGGAUAGCCCGGCGAAAGCCGGAUUAAUACCGCAUACGAUCCACGGAUGAAAGCGGGGGACCUUCGGGCCUCGCGCUAUAGGGUUGGCCGAUGGCUGAUUAGCUAGUUGGUGGGGUAAAGGCCUACCAAGGCGACGAUCAGUAGCUGGUCUGAGAGGACGACCAGCCACACUGGGACUGAGACACGGCCCAGACUCCUACGGGAGGCAGCAGUGGGGAAUUUUGGACAAAGGGCGAAAGCCUGAUCCAGCAAUGCCGCGUGUGUGAAGAAGGCCUUCGGGUUGUAAAGCACUUUUGUCCGGAAAGAAAUCCUUGGCUCUAAUGCAGUCGGGGGAUGACGGUACCGGAAGAAUAAGCACCGGCUAACUACGUG
Molecule: ribosomal RNA, 486 nt
Filed under: uncultured bacterium
Lineage: Bacteria
Description: partial 16S ribosomal RNA
Rfam family: Bacterial small subunit ribosomal RNA
Source: RNAcentral